Molecule: long non-coding RNA, 1095 nt
Filed under: Phasianus colchicus (ring-necked pheasant)
Lineage: Eukaryota; Metazoa; Chordata; Aves; Galliformes; Phasianidae
Description: lncRNA (ENSPCLG00000018390.1)
Source: RNAcentral
AUGGAGCAGUGGAUGGGAAAGAUGGAGCAGUGCCUCAAGCAGCUUCCAGGCCUCAGUAUCCCCACUCCAGGUUUGCUGUUGCACCCAGCCCGAUGGCUGUCGGGAGCUCUGGGUACCACGCUUGGCAUUCAGGCUUGGGGAAGGGCGAGCCGUAGCCCUGGGCAUUGCGCUGCCUCUUGGCCAGAGCAUCCAAAGCCCUCUGCAGGAGUGACUCAGGCGUUAGGGAUGCAGUGCUGGGGCAGACCGUGCCCCAGGCUGAAGCCGAGCAGCGUUGGCCUGCGAGCAGUGCCAGGGACCUGCUCUGAGAGCCAUCCUGUUCCCAGCGGCAGCUCCGCACGCUCAGCCAAGACAUCUCCAUUCCAAAAGCAGCCGUUUCUGGCAGCGCCGAGCCAGGCUCUGGCUCCCAGCCCUGGGCUGCCUCCCCCAACCUGUGCCUCCUGCUGCCACGCUGCAUCCUCCCUCCCCUCCCCCUGGCACCUGCGGCUCCUCCACCCCCCGGUGCCGGUGCCAGUGGGUCCAUCUGGGUCCGUUUGCCCUGCCCUCAGCUCCGGGUUGCCUCCCGCUCUUGGCAUCCUUCCCAGGCUCUUGGGGUACGGGGCUGAUCUUCCCGGUGCCCCCAGCGUGCUUCCAGGAGUGGGCAGAAGCCUUGCCAGGAAGGAUGUUACUCAUCCUCUAAACAUCCUUUUCCCUGGCCGGCAGCCACAAGAAGGCUGCCAGCAGAUGAGCAGCGGGAGCACGAGGUGGUCCCCGCUUGGGGAGGGGACUGAUACCCACGGGGGGGGGUCUGCACCUUUUGAUGGGGAUGUUUGCAGCUCCCCGUCCCAAGCGCAGCAUGGAAAAGGGGAAAUUGACCCCCAUCAAUUGACCCCAAUCAAUGACACCCAUCCCGAAGGUGGCUGUGUUAUCCAAGGUCCCCCAAGCAGUGCCGGUACCAACCCUUGUGUUCUGCUGGGAGCUUGGGGGGAGCACCGGUGUCCUCACUGUGCUGCAGGUUUGGAACAGCCCCGGUUUGGUGUUGCCGUGCUCAGCACAGAAGGGCAGCACAGCUCCCGGGCGCUGCAGCCCUGGCAGUAUUUAAGAGAUUCCACGGAUUGA